GCGGGCGUAGUAUAAUGGUAAUACACGUGCUUGCCAAGCACGAGCCGGCGGUUCAAUUCCGCUCGCCCGCUCCA
Molecule: transfer RNA, 74 nt
Filed under: Candidatus Uhrbacteria bacterium RIFCSPHIGHO2_02_FULL_47_29
Lineage: Bacteria; Candidatus Uhriibacteriota
Also listed under: 2 other names
Description: tRNA-Gly
Rfam family: tRNA
About the family: Transfer RNA (tRNA) molecules are approximately 80 nucleotides in length. Their secondary structure includes four short double-helical elements and three loops (D, anti-codon, and T loops). Further hydrogen bonds mediate the characteristic L-shaped molecular structure. tRNAs have two regions of fundamental functional importance: the anti-codon, which is responsible for specific mRNA codon recognition, and the 3' end, to which the tRNAs corresponding amino acid is attached (by aminoacyl-tRNA synthetases). tRNAs cope with the degeneracy of the genetic code in two manners: having more than one tRNA (with a specific anti-codon) for a particular amino acid; and 'wobble' base-pairing, i.e. permitting non-standard base-pairing at the 3rd anti-codon position.
Source: RNAcentral